UACGUAGGGGGCAAGCGUUGUCCGGAAUUAUUGGGCGUAAAGCGCGCGCAGGCGGCUUUGUAAGUUUGGUGUUUAAUCUCAGAGCUCAACUCUGAUUCGCAUCGAAAACUGCAAGGCUUGAGUACAGAAGAGGAAAGUGGAAUUCCACGUGUAGCGGUGAAAUGCGUAGAGAUGUGGAGGAACACCAGUGGCGAAGGCGGCAUCCUGGACCAACACUGACGCUGAACAGCGAAAGCCAGGGGAGCAAACGGG
RNAcentral lists this ribosomal RNA (252 nucleotides) under uncultured bacterium. RNAcentral's name for it is "partial 16S ribosomal RNA". It matches the Rfam family "Bacterial small subunit ribosomal RNA", at positions 524 to 776 of the family's 1533-position model. The record is from RNAcentral.